RNAcentral lists this ribosomal RNA (439 nucleotides) under uncultured bacterium. RNAcentral describes it as "partial 16S ribosomal RNA". It matches the Rfam family "Bacterial small subunit ribosomal RNA", at positions 338 to 795 of the family's 1533-position model. The record is from RNAcentral.
CCUACGGGAGGCAGCAGUGGGGAAUAUUGCACAAUGGGCGAAAGCCUGAUGCAGCAACGCCGCGUGAGCGAUGAAGGCCUUCGGGUCGUAAAGCUCUGUCCUCAAGGAAGAUAAUGACGGUACUUGAGUAGGAAGCCCCGGCUAACUACGUGCCAGCAGCGGCGGUAAUCCGUAGGGGGCUAGCGUUAUCCGGAAUUACUGGGCGUAAAGGGUGCGUAGGUGGUUUCUUAAGUCAGAGGUGAAAGGCUACGGCUCAACCGUAGUAAGCCUUUGAAACUGGGAAACUUGAGUGCAGGAGAGGAGAGUGGAAUUCCUAGUGUAGCGGUGAAAUGCGUAGAGAUUAGGAGGAACACCAGUUGCGAAGGCGGCUUUCUGGACUGUAACUGACACUGAGGCACGAAAGCGUGGGGAGCAAACAGGAUUAGAUACCCGUGUAGUC